UACAGAGGGUGCAAGCGUUAAUCGGAAUUACUGGGCGUAAAGCGCACGCAGGCGGUUGGUUAAGUCAGAUGUGAAAGCCCCGGGCUCAACCUGGGAAUUGCAUUUGAAACUGGCCAACUAGAGUACGUGAGAGGGGGGUAGAAUUCCAAGUGUAGCGGUGAAAUGCGUAGAGAUUUGGAGGAAUACCAGUGGCGAAGGCGGCCCCCUGGCCCGAUAUUGGCGCUGAGGUGCGAAAGCGUGGGGAGCAAACAGG
RNAcentral lists this ribosomal RNA (253 nucleotides) under uncultured bacterium. Its description in RNAcentral is "partial 16S ribosomal RNA". It matches the Rfam family "Bacterial small subunit ribosomal RNA", at positions 524 to 776 of the family's 1533-position model. The record is from RNAcentral.